CUCCUGCUGGCACUGCUUCCAGCGUAUAUUGCCUGGGGUUUACACGUGCAAUUGAAAUCGAAAUUAGUGCUUUUUUUGGCUUUUUCAUUCCGGCUCCCUGUGAUCAUAGUUGCUGCAUUGCGCAUUUUCUAUCUCCGAAAACAAAACAUGUUGGAUGACCCGUUUUUCUAUGGGGUAGACCCCUCUGUUUGCAUGGAGAUCGAACUGCAUUAUGGCCUUAUCGCUGCGACGAUCGCAUGUCUCAAGCCAUUCGUUAAGUCAUUCAACACGGGAUAUCUGGGUCGCCUAGAAAUCAUUCCGGAUGCUUUCAGAGACACAAUACCUUUACAGAAUUAUAAGCCCCCGAGAAUGUCGGGGGGGAGGGAUAACCCGUCCAUUGGGGAAGGUGGCGCUCUUUCCAUAGAAACGACAUCGGGGAACAUAGAAACUGUAACUGACACCAGAAG
RNAcentral lists this small RNA (446 nucleotides) under Histoplasma capsulatum var. duboisii H88. RNAcentral describes it as "Histoplasma capsulatum H88 hypothetical RNA". Lineage: Eukaryota; Fungi; Ascomycota; Eurotiomycetes; Onygenales; Ajellomycetaceae. The record is from RNAcentral.